Molecule: unclassified non-coding RNA, 20 nt
Filed under: Mus musculus (house mouse)
Lineage: Eukaryota; Metazoa; Chordata; Mammalia; Rodentia; Muridae
Description: oocyte_clustered_small_RNA12051
Source: RNAcentral
UUGGAUGGCCUGGCCGUCCU